RNAcentral lists this ribosomal RNA (403 nucleotides) under Verrucomicrobiota bacterium. Its description in RNAcentral is "Verrucomicrobia bacterium partial 16S ribosomal RNA". It matches the Rfam family "Bacterial small subunit ribosomal RNA", at positions 355 to 776 of the family's 1533-position model. Lineage: Bacteria; Pseudomonadati; Verrucomicrobiota. The record is from RNAcentral.
UGGGGAAUAUUGCACAAUGGGGGAAACCCUGAUGCAGCGACGCCGCGUGAGCGAAGAAGGUUUUCGAAUCGUAAAGCUCUGUCCUAUGAGAAGAUAAUGACGGUAUCAUAGGAGGAAGCCCCGGCUAAAUACGUGCCAGCAGCCGCGGUAAUACGUAUGGGGCGAGCGUUGUCCGGAAUUAUUGGGCGUAAAGGGUACGUAGGCGGUCUAUUAAGUCAGGUGUGAAAGCGUGAGGCUUAACCUCAUUAAGCACUUGAAACUGAUAGACUUGAGUGAAGGAGAGGAAAGUGGAAUUCCUAGUGUAGCGGUGAAAUGCGUAGAUAUUAGGAGGAAUACCGGCGGCGAAGGCGACUUUCUGGACUUUUACUGACGCUCAGGUACGAAAGCGUGGGGAGCAAACAGG